AAUGUAUAUAGACAUAUAUUAGAGUGUAGAUUUACUCAUUUUGCGCUUCAUUGAAAAGGCAGUGGCGCGAAGCUACCGUGUGCCGGAUUAUGACUGAACACCUCUAUGUCAGAAUCUAAGCUAGCAUGCGACAUUUGUGCCCGCCGCCCACCCUGUGCCCAUGCCAUUGGCUAAGACGGUCCGACCGACGUGUCGCGGCCGGCCGCCUCGAAGCUCCCUUCUCAACGGGCGGUGGGCUGAAUACUUUGCAGACGACUUAAAUAUGUGACGGGGCAUUGUAAAUGGCAGAGUGGCCUUGCUAUCAUGAUUCAUUGAGAUCCAGCCCCAUAUCACACGGAUUC
This 341-nucleotide ribosomal RNA is filed under the name Aegilops tauschii subsp. strangulata. RNAcentral's name for it is "rRNA LSU_rRNA_eukarya". It matches the Rfam family "Eukaryotic large subunit ribosomal RNA", at positions 3022 to 3399 of the family's 3401-position model. The record is from Rfam by way of RNAcentral. Lineage: Eukaryota; Viridiplantae; Streptophyta; Magnoliopsida; Poales; Poaceae.